UCUUGAUAGAACCUGUAAUAAGCUCUUAGAAUUGUAUUUUUUCACUUCAUAGUGUUACCAGCAAAACGGCAAUGUAGCAAAGGCAACUGAGUGGUUGAAGAAAGCAACGUCACUACCCGUAUCCACAGAUGAUGACAAAGAAUCAUACGAUCAAGCUCGACAACUGCUAUCCACGUUAUGACGAUGCCUCCCAUUGGCUACCACAAACUGUCUCUAGAUUGGCCAGUUGGUUUCACGUGGUCUGGUUACCUGUGCCCAAUCUUCAAGCUCUUGCACAUGCAAUUUAUUAUGGGAACAUUUUGAAUGAAUUUUGUCGUCUCCUUAGCGAGGAGAGAAAAUGAACUAGUAAGACAUUUUAUCUAGCUCUUUUUUACGAAACCGUUAUUUUUUAUUUAUUCUGUUUUCAGUUCAACAACGAUUUUAAUUUCUAAAUGAUAUUGAGAAGAAAGCUGCAAGUUCUUAACACUGAUUAUCUUUACCUUCAUUUAUAUUUUAAGAAAUAUUCUUUGUCUUAAAAAGACGUUUGUAGAAUGGAUAAAGCGAGUUACCUGCAAAGCGACUUUAACUAAGUUUAAUCUUUACGUUUAUAUAUACAAAAAAAAAGGAAAUUAUUUUAGCCUACUCUUUAAAUAUUAAAUAUGCUUUAUCAUUUAAAUUCACUCAAAAGGCAAAACACGAUUUGAAGUCUAGAUUUCGGACUGAUAAAACUUUGCCUAAUAAAUCUCUUGAUAAUUAUCACUGUAUAUUUUUACUCUUUAAUCAUUUGUGCUUUGAUUCACCCUGCGGGCUUUCCAAAAUACAAGACUCUUAAAAUAUAUACAGUGAAAUCACACAGUAAAUUAAAGAUUUUCCACAGACGUACUGCAGUUUUUAAGUUUAAUUUUCGCAUUCUAGUUCAUUCGCAGAUUAACAAAUCGCGGUAUGUACUGUGGGACUUCAGUACAGCUUAACACCCAGGGAUUUGAGAAAAUGGGUUUGUUGCAACGGGGUGUCGUUUUAAAUUUUGUCUAAUGGUGCAAUAACAAUGGAAUAUAAUGAAGUUAUCACGGACUUCCAUCUCUGUUAAUCUAUUUCACGUUAAGUGUGGUGAAAUUUAUUCUGUGUUAAAUCUGGAAAGCUUUUAAGUUUGACAAUCUACAUUCUGUUCGUUUUCGCAAGGAUUUUGUCAUAUCGGUGUUCGCUCUAUACGAGUGCUGUUCCGUACGUUGUACUGCAACUUUGGCCUUAAUGACGUGCAAGUCGUUAUAUUGAUGUUCCACUGUCUUAUUUGUCAUUUCGUAGAAGAGCCCUCGACAUGAAUUUCAGUAUAAUUUUAUUCUGUUAAAAUGAGCACUUUUUUCUUUUCUAGCACAAAGCUUACCCUGUGUACAUGUUUAAAUCGCUCACUGAAAUAAAGCCAAAAACCAAUUUGAAUUUGA
Orbicella faveolata is the source of this 1418-nucleotide long non-coding RNA. The record is from RefSeq and is a predicted model, not a curated record. Lineage: Eukaryota; Metazoa; Cnidaria; Anthozoa; Scleractinia; Merulinidae.